GAAACCCUUCGACCACUAAACCCUCAAAACCCUAUCCGCCGUCAAAACCCAUGUUCGAAACCCUAAAGAGCUCCAACCGAAACCCAAUCGCGACCCCAAAUCGACAACGACGCAUCAUCUUUAUAUUAACCCUUUUUUUUUAUGUUUUCAGAUUCAAGGAUUUUCUGUCUUCUUUCGUUUUGGUUGUCGGCUAUUGGAAAUCAAUGCGCAGGUUGUGAGCGUUAUUCAAAGUUUUGGAAACAGUUGUCUUGAUAUGGCUGAGUCCCGUUUCGAUUACGCCAACAAGAACGAUACAUAACGAACUACUCGCUGACGGUAACAAUGUGAACUCUGAGUUUUAUGUUAAUAUAUUUUGUUACGAUUUCGGUUUAGCUGUCAAACUGUUGUUAUUAUUUUGAUAAGUAGAAAUCCGCUUAUACAUGUAAAUGAUGGUGGUUAAUAGGCCUUUCUGUUUUGCUGAAGGAUUCUUGUAUGGUUGUGUAAAUAGUCUUGUAAAUAUGUUAAUGCUUUGCCGUGGUUCUGUUUGAUUUUGAUAAUUACUACGUUUUGGUACUACAAAAUUCUGUAAAUAUGAUAAAGGUAAUGUUGUUGUCGAUUUCGUUCGUUGCUUCCCUAUGUCAUGAUUUCGGACCUAAUUUGGCUUCAAUUACAUCUGUGAAUUUUCAAUUUUCAGCUUUAUGAUUAUUCAAAAUAAUGAUGAUUGUAAAGUUAUGAACAUAAGUUUGCUCUGCUGAUUACAUAUUUCCUGAUUUCGGUUAUGGAAUUUUAGAUGUGUUUAUGUUUUGGUGCCGGGAAAACGGUUUUGUUGUUGUAUGAAUUCUGGACGCAUCAUGAGCCAAGGGUGGGGACUGGGUGUGUUGUAUUUCGAGUAACCUGUUUGUUGUUGCCUUUUCAUUUUGCUUUUCAUAGAAAUAUUUGGAAAUGCUUGGAAUUUGUUUGGAAUAGUUGAAAUGUAUGUAACGUUUCUUGCUGUAAUUUUUACAGUAAGUUGAUUUUAGUGGCAAUGUAGUGUAACCAUGCAUAAAUACAUUAAACUGUAAUUUUCUCUUUGAACUUAAUUAAUCAAUUA
Molecule: long non-coding RNA, 1069 nt
Filed under: Lathyrus oleraceus (garden pea)
Lineage: Eukaryota; Viridiplantae; Streptophyta; Magnoliopsida; Fabales; Fabaceae
Description: Pisum sativum (pea) long non-coding RNA (PSAT_LNC007499)
Source: RNAcentral